GGAAACAAAGGCUGGGAUCAUGAUGGGGAGGCAAGAAGAGGCAGAACUCUGCAGGCUAGGUGAAGAUAAAAGAGCAUUUGUGGAGGAGGAAGGCAGAUUCCACCUCCACAGCUCCAACUGUGAGGCCUCACCAAUAAACAGAGGCAUCAGCAUUUGUAUAGAAGAAUGAGGAAGGAGAGCUUGCUCCAUAUGCACUUUCAUCAGGAGCUGCUGGAUCCAUACCCAGCACUGGUGUGCAGAGCUGUUCCUGGCAAAGGAAGCUUACAGGCUGCCCAUCUACUUCAAGCCUACCUGGGAUACCUGUCUUUAAUUGACAUUAAAGCCACAUUUGCAGCAUGAUCCACCUAAAGUGGUAGAUGUGCUUAGCAGAGGGAGCAAUAGUAGUAAUGACAUGUAUUUUGUGUGAUUUUUCACCAGGGAUGGACCAGUUCCUCUAAAUAGAUUACUUUAUUUACAGGGAUAAUCCCCCCCACCCCGGUUUUCAUUGCACUCUCUGCAAAGAGCAAGCAGUAUGUUAAAAAACUUGUCUUCUAUCUAAACCUGUCUUUUAAUCCCCCAGAUGUAUUCUUAAAAUUAAAAUACAGUUGCUUUCUUUCAUUGUGAAGUCACUCAACAAUUAGCCUGCUGGAAAUUUUAAUUCAUAUUAAUGAGAUGCAGUUCUGACUGACAUCUGUCAAAGAGAGUAGGGGAAGGUGGAGAAAAUGAUGUUUCUAAACAGGGAUAGAAAAAUGGAACCUCCUUGCCAGGACCCUGAGCAAAUCCCCUUCUGGAGCAUAGCUGGCUAUAUCCAAGGUCAACUAGCAUCCACUGAUAAGGGCUGUUGUGAAGAAAAACAGAAGCUCAGGCCUGUCUUCCUGCCUCCUAGCAGCUGUUUUUAGCUGAGGCUUUAUCCCUGGCCCCACCUGUGCUGCACUGCUGCUGCGCUGCAGUGGUGCCUGUGCCCUGCUGCUGCUGUGCUUCUUACCCUGAUCCAGCUCCUCCAGAUCAGCUUCCUGACUUGCCCUUGUACCUGUCCUGCUGCUACAGACUUGCUUGGUGACCACACAUCGGUGUCUGAUGCUGGUUGCUGCCCUGGACCUGAUCCUGUCCUGGCUUCUCAGCACCCCAGCUCCUUGCUGGUGAGGGCUCAGCUUUGCUGGCCAUGCUGCCAGAGAACGGCACUGUGCUCCUCACAGCACCUUGAUUCGUUUUUGGGUUUUCCAGGGAACAAUUUAAGCACAUUCUCUAAAAUUGCCUUCAAUUCAAAAGCCAAGUGAAGCUGAAUUGCCUCGUGUGGCCACAUGCUGAAGCUGUUUCUGCCCAGCUCAUUAUUUCCAAUGAAUAACAGCAGAUUUGUCAAUAUUUAUAUUGUAUCCUCAGUAGAAGUCAGCUUGUCUAAGCUGAAGUCAAUAUCAACUAUACUGAUUCAUGCUGGUUGAAAAAUCUGUUCAUAUUUUCUAAAUGCUUCAGUUGAGUUAAAACCCUUCCACCUUUAGAACAAGAAAUAUCUUGUGUUAAUAUCUCCAUGUUAAUAUUUUCCCAUUAUGUAGAUCAGAGGCUCGAGGAACAACAUUAGCACUUUCUUUCAGUGCCAUUUAUAGCUUUUGACAGUUUCCUGACAUUGAUAAAGCGUGUUAUGAAAAGCAGAGUCAGCAGGCUGAAGACACUGACUGGGUUAUGUUUUUAUUAAAAGCAUUAUUCAGCUGUCACAUAAUGUCACAUGUAAAUAUCCUCAUGAUGUUCUAGCAAAGCAGUAUUGUAUAAGCACAAGGCCUCUCUUUCCCCUGUUGCCUUUGCUGUAAGAAUACCACACCAGUUGUAAGAGAAGGCAAUGGGGGUCCUGAAGUUCAAAUCCACCCCUCCUGGUUUGUGGGAGUUCCUGAGGUCCUGGGCACAGGACACAUGAAUUCUCAAGCUAUAUGAGAGAGGUGUUACCUUCCAGAUAGAUAUCUCAAAAUCUAAACAAAUAUUUAGAACCACAAUUCUGACUUCAUUUUUCAUGUGAAUAAGUGCUCUCACAUUGAUCUGCAUUAUAAACUCUGCUUUGAACUCAAUUGUGAUGUAUUCUGUGGAGAUUAUCACCUCUGAACUCAGUUGUAAUAUACUCUGUGGAGAUUAUUUGGACUACUCCCAUUGCAGCGUGCACCUCACAACAAAGACAGCUCUUUGUGUACUAGACUCGCCAGUAAAGCCAUGUCUUGUGGAGUACCCCCUGACUAGUUCAGGAUCUGAAUAUGUGUAGCUAUGACAGCUCAGGGCUCAUCUUCAGUCUUUAUUUCUGCUGCCCUGUGGCUGGAUUAUAACCUGCAAUUCAAUUUCUUUGCAACUACAUUACUGAAAAUCUGCAGAGCUGUCCUGGAGUAGCUGCAGUGAUUGGCAUGACAGGUCCUUCUGCCUGCCUUGACACAACAGGGUGAUGGAUAGCAGAGAGUUCCAUAGAACCAUAGAACAGGAUCAGGGAAUCAUUUAGAUUGGAAAAGACCCUUAAGAUCGUCAAGCCCAAUCAUUAACCUAGCAUCACCAAGUUCACCACUGAACCCUGUCAUAAAUGCUACAUCUACUCAUUUUUUAAAUACCUCCAGGGAUAAUGGAAAUGGAAAUUACUUUCCUGGG
Long non-coding RNA from Parus major (Great Tit), 2592 nucleotides. RefSeq lists it as uncharacterized. The record is from RefSeq and is a predicted model, not a curated record. NCBI's taxonomy places the organism in Eukaryota, Metazoa, Chordata, Aves, Passeriformes, Paridae. The transcript has 3 exons.